Molecule: ribosomal RNA, 385 nt
Filed under: uncultured bacterium
Lineage: Bacteria
Description: bacterial SSU rRNA
Rfam family: Bacterial small subunit ribosomal RNA
Source: RNAcentral
AUUGAACGCUGGCGGCAUGCCUUACACAUGCAAGUCGAGCGGCAGCGCGGGGGCAACCCUGGCGGCGAGCGGCGGACGGGUGAGUAAUACAUCGGAACGUGUCCUUUCGUGGGGGAUAACCAGUCGAAAGACUGGCUAAUACCGCAUGAGAUCUCACGAUGAAAGCGGGGGACCCCGGGGGUAACUUCGGGGCCUCGCGCGAUUGGAGCGGCCGAUGUCGGAUUAGCUAGUUGGCGGGGUAAAGCCCACCAAGGCGACGAUCCGUAGCUGGUUUGAGAGAACGACCAGCCACACUGGGACUGAGACACGGCCCAGACUCCUACGGGAGGCAGCAGUGGGGAAUUUUGGACAAUGGGGGCAACCCUGAUCCAGCCAUGCCGCGUGU